Molecule: ribosomal RNA, 492 nt
Filed under: uncultured bacterium
Lineage: Bacteria
Description: partial 16S ribosomal RNA
Rfam family: Bacterial small subunit ribosomal RNA
Source: RNAcentral
AGUGAACGCUGGCGGUAGGCCUAACACAUGCGAGUCGAACGGCAGCACAGUAAGAGCUUGCUCUUACGGGUGGCGAGUGGCGGACGGGUGAGGAAUACAUCGGAAUCUACUUUUUCGUGGGGGAUAACGUAGGGAAACUUACGCUAAUACCGCAUACGACCUACGGGUGAAAGCAGGGGAUCUUCGGACCUUGCGCGAUUGAAUGAGCCGAUGUCGGAUUAGCUAGUUGGCGGGGUAAAGGCCCACCAAGGCGACGAUCCGUAGCUGGUCUGGGAGGAUGAUCAGCCACACUGGAACUGAGACACGGUCCAGACUCCUACGGGAGGCAGCAGUGGGGAAUAUUGGACAAUGGGCGCAAGCCUGAUCCAGCCAUACCGCGUGGGUGAAGAAGGCCUUCGGGUUGUAAAGCCCUUUUGUUGGGAAAGAAAAGCAGCAGGUUAAUACCCCGCUGUUCUGACGGUACCCAAAGAAUAAGCACCGGCUAACUUCGUG